This 447-nucleotide ribosomal RNA is filed under the name uncultured bacterium. RNAcentral describes it as "partial 16S ribosomal RNA". It matches the Rfam family "Bacterial small subunit ribosomal RNA", at positions 328 to 792 of the family's 1533-position model. The record is from RNAcentral.
CGGCCAGACUCCUACGGGAGGCAGCAGUGGGGGAUAUUGCACAAUGGGGGAAACCCUGAUGCAGUGACGCCGCGUGAGCGAAGAAGUAUUUCGGUAUGUAAAGCUCUAUCAGCAGGGAAGAAAUUGACGGUACCUGAGUAAGAAGCUCCGGCUAAAUACGUGCCAGCAGCCGCGGUAAUACGUAUGGAGCAAGCGUUAUCCGGAUUUACUGGGUGUAAAGGGAGCGUAGGCGGCCUGCCAAGUCUGAUGUGAAAUGCCGGGGCUCAACCCCGGGGCUGCAUUGGAAACUGGCAGGCUGGAGUGUCGGAGAGGCAGGCGGAAUUCCUAGUGUAGCGGUGAAAUGCGUAGAUAUUAGGAGGAACACCAGUGGCGAAGGCGGCCUGCUGGACGAUGACUGACGCUGAGGCUCGAAAGCGUGGGGAGCAAACAGGAUUAGAUCCCCUUGUA